Molecule: ribosomal RNA, 1499 nt
Filed under: metagenome
Description: bacterial SSU rRNA
Rfam family: Bacterial small subunit ribosomal RNA
Source: RNAcentral
GAGUUUGAUCAUGGCUCAGAUUGAACGCUGGCGGCAGGCCUAACACAUGCAAGUCGAACGGUAACAGGAAGCAGCUUGCUGCUUCGCUGACGAGUGGCGGACGGGUGAGUAAUGUCUGGGAAGCUGCCUGAUGGAGGGGGAUAACUACUGGAAACGGUAGCUAAUACCGCAUAAUGUCGCAAGACCAAAGAGGGGGACCUUCGGGCCUCUUGCCAUCGGAUGUGCCCAGAUGGGAUUAGCUUGUUGGUGGGGUAACGGCUCACCAAGGCGACGAUCCCUAGCUGGUCUGAGAGGAUGACCAGCCACACUGGAACUGAGACACGGUCCAGACUCCUACGGGAGGCAGCAGUGGGGAAUAUUGCACAAUGGGCGCAAGCCUGAUGCAGCCAUGCCGCGUGUAUGAAGAAGGCCUUCGGGUUGUAAAGUACUUUCAGCGGGGAGGAAGGGUGUAAAGUUAAUACCUUUGCUCAUUGACGUUACCCGCAGAAGAAGCACCGGCUAACUCCGUGCCAGCAGCCGCGGUAAUACGGAGGGUGCAAGCGUUAAUCGGAAUUACUGGGCGUAAAGCGCACGCAGGCGGUUUGUUAAGUCAGAUGUGAAAUCCCCGGGCUCAACCUGGGAACUGCAUCUGAUACUGGCAAGCUUGAGUCUCGUAGAGGGGGGUAGAAUUCCAGGUGUAGCGGUGAAAUGCGUAGAGAUCUGGAGGAAUACCGGUGGCGAAGGCGGCCCCCUGGACGAAGACUGACGCUCAGGUGCGAAAGCGUGGGGAGCAAACAGGAUUAGAUACCCUGGUAGUCCACGCCGUAAACGAUGUCGACUUGGAGGUUGUGCCCUUGAGGCGUGGCUCCCGGAGCUAACGCGUUAAGUCGACCGCCUGGGGAGUACGGCCGCAAGGUUAAAACUCAAAUGAAUUGACGGGGGCCCGCAUAAGCGGUGGAGCAUGUGGUUUAAUUCGAUGCAACGCGAAGAACCUUACCUGGUCUUGACAUCCACGGAAGUUUUCAGAGAUGAGAAUGUGCCUUCGGGAACCGUGAGACAGGUGCUGCAUGGCUGUCGUCAGCUCGUGUUGUGAAAUGUUGGGUUAAGUCCCGCAACGAGCGCAACCCUUAUCCUUUGUUGCCAGCGGUCCGGCCGGGAACUCAAAGGAGACUGCCAGUGAUAAACUGGAGGAAGGUGGGGAUGACGUCAAGUCAUCAUGGCCCUUACGACCAGGGCUACACACGUGCUACAAUGGCGCAUACAAAGAGAAGCGACCUCGCGAGAGCAAGCGGACCUCAUAAAGUGCGUCGUAGUCCGGAUUGGAGUCUGCAACUCGACUCCAUGAAGUCGGAAUCGCUAGUAAUCGUGGAUCAGAAUGCCACGGUGAAUACGUUCCCGGGCCUUGUACACACCGCCCGUCACACCAUGGGAGUGGGUUGCAAAAGAAGUAGGUAGCUUAACCUUCGGGAGGGCGCUUACCACUUUGUGAUUCAUGACUGGGGUGAAGUCGGAACAAGGUA